Molecule: non-coding RNA, 77 nt
Organism: Eublepharis macularius
Lineage: Eukaryota; Metazoa; Chordata; Lepidosauria; Squamata; Eublepharidae
Source: the annotation of a RefSeq genome assembly
GGGGGUGUGCUAUGGCUCACCGGCAGAGCAUCUGCUUUGUAUGCAGAAGGUCCCAGGUUCAAUUCCUGGCAUCUCCA